This 447-nucleotide ribosomal RNA is filed under the name uncultured Microthrixaceae bacterium. RNAcentral's name for it is "bacterial SSU rRNA". It matches the Rfam family "Bacterial small subunit ribosomal RNA", at positions 336 to 798 of the family's 1533-position model. Lineage: Bacteria; Bacillati; Actinomycetota; Acidimicrobiia; Acidimicrobiales; Microthrixaceae. The record is from RNAcentral.
UUCCUACGGGGGGCUGCAGUGGGGAAUCUUGCGCAAUGGGCGAAAGCCUGACGCAGCAACGCCGCGUGCGGGAUGACGGCCUUCGUGGUUGUAAACCGCUUUCAGCAGGGACGAAAAUGACGGUACCUGCAGAAGAAGCUCCGGCUAACUACGUGCCAGCAGCCGCGGUAAUACGUAGGGGGCGAGCGUUGUCCGGAUUCAUUGGGCGUAAAGAGCUCGUAGGCGGUUCAGUAAGUCGGGUGUGAAAGCCCCGAGCUCAACUCGGAGAGGCCACCCGAUACUGCUGUGACUCGAGUCCAGUAGAGGAGCGUGGAACUCCUGGUGUAGCGGUGAAAUGCGCAGAUAUCAGGAAGAACACCGGUAGCGAAGGCGGCGCUCUGGGCUGGUACUGACGCUGAGGAGCGAAAGCGUGGGUAGCAAACAGGAUUAGAUACCCUUGUAGUCCAU